GGCAGUCAAUAACUAAACCAGCCUAAUACACAGUCCUUUAAUCAUGACAGUUCAAAAUCAGAAAUACAAAUUUUGGCAUCCUCCCAAUCAUAAGAGAAAUAGCAACUAACUCGAAGAUUGGACCCAUUAUCAGACAGUUCCAUCCUAUCUGUAGUGGGUGCUUCUUGAUAGAAUUUAAUAUAUGAACAUAUUAUAGUUCUAAAAUCAAUACCUA
This 214-nucleotide long non-coding RNA is filed under the name Trifolium pratense (red clover). Its description in RNAcentral is "long non-coding RNA (TPRA_LNC003026)". Lineage: Eukaryota; Viridiplantae; Streptophyta; Magnoliopsida; Fabales; Fabaceae. The record is from RNAcentral.